This is a long non-coding RNA of Aquila chrysaetos chrysaetos, 4371 nucleotides long. RefSeq lists it as uncharacterized. The record is from RefSeq and is a predicted model, not a curated record. Lineage: Eukaryota; Metazoa; Chordata; Aves; Accipitriformes; Accipitridae. The transcript is spliced from 3 exons.
UUAAAUCUAUGCUUUAGCAGGCUUGAAAAUGGUCUAACUGGAAUGACGAGAUGGCAACAGGACCACAGAAUAGAUUCAGUGACCAGUACCAUGGCCAAAGGUGUGAGCCUGACCACCGAGUGCAUUAGUUUUCCCAGAAGUUUCCAACUUGAUUAUGAAGAGAAAAAAAAAAAAGAAGUAAAAGUAAGAAUCCAAGAGUGCCCACAAGCCUCGAAGAGCUUGGAUUGAACUACAAACGCAGGGACAAGGAUAGUAUCCUUGGAAAUGACCCACUGGUUAAAAAGAAGACAAUAAUAAAUCCCUGCGAAAAACAGCCAUUUGAAUUGCCAUGAACGUCAUUACUUUCAAAAGCCAGAGCAGCCUGCACUGUGUUUGGGUGGCACUGUGGAGAAGACAGAACAGUUGGAACAGAGGACUGGCAGCAAUGAGAUUACACAAAGAUAGCACUGAACGUCAUCCAGACUGCUGGUAAGUACAUUUGUCCGUGUACCAGGCCCAAAUAAAGAGCUUGCAAUGUGAAUUCAGGCCUGCGCAAGGUCAUGAUGCUACAGUUCACAUCAACAUGGUCCAGCAAGACACAGCCACACCGUAAGAGUGAAAUAGUGGGAAGAAAAAGCCACAGAGUAAAUAACUCACCUAAACAACUCACCCAGAAGCUCAGUGGCAUAAGUUCAGGCAGCUGCCUGUGUCUUUACCCCGUUACGCACUAGAUGAUGUGACUGCUAUUUUCAUAUAGGUAUUUGCACCCCAGCUGUGCUGGCAGGUUUUGUUUUUCCAGGUGCCAGGCAGCACCCAGGAGCUUACAUUCUUAGACUAAGCAGACUUGAGGCUUGCUGCCGUGUCACGCUCGUCAGACCAAACACGUAAUUUUUGAAAUGCCUGUGAGAGGUGACCUAGAGCAUUUGGCAUGUCCUCAGGGAAGGAUCAGCCAUGGGAACUCACAUCAGCUUUUUUAAACAAUUACUGGAGGAGCUCACAGGGAUAUUAUUCACAGGCUGGUAGAGGGGCCUGCCACGUGGGAGCUCACUCUUUCCUCCUGGCAUAAUGAACUUGGGGAGCUGGGCAGCAACUGGGAGGAGUGAAAAAGUACUUGAGAUGCUUGGAAACAUCUGCCUGUCCUCAGCUUACCUACCCUCACCUUUGUAGAGAUGUGGGAGGGACAGGUCCACGUGCCAGGAGGAGCGGGAGCGCUGCUGUGGGUUUUGAAGGCAAUUUCCAAGCUGCCCUCAUACUUCUGUGCAUGGUCCUGCCAUUUUAUUAAAUUCUUCUGAAGUUGCUCCUGACCUAAGCUAAGUACUUUUCUAUUGACAUCAACUUUUGCCACUUCACUACUCACCCCCAGGUUAUUAAUAAAGCAUUAAACAAUAUUGGUCUGAGUCCUGCUCUCUAGGGCACCUCAUUAUUAAUCUCUUUCCCUGCUAGAAUUGGCCAUUUAUUCCAUACCCAUUUAUAACCAGAUUUUAAUCCAUGACAGGACUUUACCUCUCACUUUGUGGUUACCAAGUUUCCUUAACAGUUUCUUGUAUGGGUGUUUAUCAAAAGGCUUUUGAAUGUCCAAAUAAAUUAUAUCCUCUGGUUGUUCUUUACCCACUAUUUUAUUAACUCUCAAAAGUGUAAAAGGUCUGACUGGCAAGAUUUAUUCUUAUAGCGGCUAUGUUACUUUUUUCCUUCUCUUGAGACUUGAUAUUUCCCUGCAGAUUGUAAAAUAUUUAGAGCAGUGACCCUCUGAAUCUUGUGGCUUGAAGCAGCACCAGAUAUGUUGUCAAUGUUUAAUUAAAACCAAAAGCAAAUGUAAUAUACUGCUGACUUUCUCAACUACUUCCUUGUAAUGACGUUAAGCUAAUAAUGCAAAAUUUCCAUGAGCUUGCUUGUCUGUGUAAAUAUUUACAGGGUCUUUAUCGCUGCAGUACCAGAUUUCCACAUGCAUUAAUGGAGUUAUCCUUGUAACACCUCUCUGAUACGGGGAAGCUUUAAUCCCAACUGCCUGAAGAAUCAGGGCACACUGACAUCUGGCACAUAAAAACCCAAACUGCUGUGCUUUGAGAAUACGGGUUAGGAGAUAAAACAUCUUCUCCCACUUACAGAUGCUGUAUUCACAAAAAAUACAAGAAUCAUCACAAUUCACAAAUGUAAUCAAAAAGGCACUGUGCCCCAGUGUCUCUUCCCAAGCUCUCUAAACCCCAAAGUUCAUUAUUCCCUUUGGAAAAAUGCAGAGCACCGCAGGUAGAGUCCAAGCUUUUCCUUUUUUUGCAGACCGUCUGUGCUUGCAGGUUUUUGCUGGCUCUGCUAGUGACCAUUUAUUUUGGACUGACACCACACAUCCAGUGUUUCAUUAUGCAUUUUUGCUCCAGCCAGAACUAAUACAAUUGGCUGCAUCUCAGCUUGCUUCAAAUAUACGAGGGAGUGGGUUUCCUGAGAGAAAAGGAAGAAACAACAUCAAAAAAAGAUAUCUUGUUUAAAGUAAAAAGCACUACAAAGAUUUUGCCAUGGAAGAAAACUUUAAAAAGGCUAUGAGAUAUAUGCGUCCAAGGGCCCACCACUGGUCCCACAUCUCUGAGGAAAGAGAGGCUUUCCAUCCUGCCCUGAAAGCUGACAAGACCUUGGCAAAGCAGGGAAUGACGGAGAGGUUGGACAUGGAGGAGCCCUCAGCGAAAAGGCAUGCAGGACAUGGACUUGCAUUUUCAAGGGACUUCUGGCCUCGUGGCUGAGGCUGGGCUUUCCAAGAAAAGCUCUCCUUCCACAUAAGCAGCCAGAACAGGUGGCCAGGAAUUCAACAGGUUAUGAAGUCCUUUCAAAAGAAAAUUAACUCUUAAGUGUCAAAGGGGAGCGAUGUGAGCGCAGAACACUUCUGGAAGAACAAACCUCCCCAGCAGAAGCUCUGAAGGAUACCAACUCAACAUUUUUCCCGUUGUGGUUUUUAAGUGAGGUUGUGAAGCUACCCGCACUUGAAAAUGUGGGACUUCUUUCUUGGGGCCUGGAGUCAAAAUCCCUUGAGACCAACAGUGGGGCUCACUUGAAGAUGCCUGCUUGUGGGUGUAAAACCAGGGAUAACUGAGCUUAGCCUGGCAAAUUUCAUUGACUCCAUAGACCAGCGAUGCCCAUGCAGCUGGGCUGGGAGCACAGAGGAGGACAGGAGCAUGGGCACUGGCAGUUGCUCCUGUCCGGGUCUGGAUGCAGACUCAACCAAACCUCCCCUUCCCGUCACCCAUUCCUGAAACGCAAGCUUUGCCUCCAGGACGGCCACGGCUCCUGCAGCAACAAAAUUAUUUCCCCAGGGAGCAGUCAAUAUAUUGCCACGAUCUUAAUCUUAUUUAGCAUGGUAGCAUGGUUUUAAUUUUUCCGUGUUUGAUCCCUCAGCUUUAGGAAUAUUGAUAGAAAUAGGGACUGUGAAGAUCAAAUAAAGAGCAGCCUGUUGCACAUGAAAAAAUACCCUUCAGUCCGCCCUCUCUCCGCGGUGAUUCAGCUUUUCCAACUGCGCUGCCGAGAUAAAAGGCUCGCAUGUGAGCAGAACCGUUAGCAAGGUCUGUAAUGCUUUCAGCGCACCGUCUUGCAAAAGAGCCUUGGCUGCGGGAGCAGAUACCGUCUGCUCCUAAAUCUCCUUCGGCGGCGGGGGAGGCCGGGGGUGCGGGGGAGGGGGAUGCAGAAAAAGGCUUCUGCUGCGUUUUCACGCCGGCACGGGCUGUUUGCUGUUCGCCCCAGCUCGCCGUUGACUUUAGAGACUGUAGCUCUGUUUAUGCCCCUGUGUCGGUUUUCCCGGCAGCGCGGUUUAGGGCGGCGGGCGGCCCCUCCUCGCCCAGCCGGGCCGCGCCGGGCCGCCCGCCCGCCCGCCUCGCCCCGGCACCGCCGCUCUAAUCAGUGGCAGGCCCCGGGCGCGGGGUAAUUAGAAACAUGGAAGGGGCUUUCUGUCUUUUGAAAUCUGUCUCUCAACAUCAAAGUGCUCCGCGCAAGUCGUCCUCCAGAGGUCGGCUCCCAUAUCUAAAUGAGUGAUGUAUUUCAUGCUAUCUGUCGGGAGGGACAUAAUGAAGAAAACCGGCUUUGAGAUGGGGCGUGAUGUGAAAAACAGGUGGCCCGCUUUAACGGGUUGUGGAGCAUCUGUUUUGCAGUCCGGUUGUGUUCCCGUAAACUGCGCGAACACGGCGGACCGGCGGCGGGCGCGCAACCUCCGCGGGCGCGCAGCCUCCGCGGCGCCAGGCGCUGCCCGGCCCGACGCGGCGCGUUUCUGGGGAGAGGCAAAGGGGAAGGCAGAAGGGUGGCUCUUCCCCCCGGCCCCUCGGGCCGCUCUCCUUAAAUCACUCCCUCCUCACGGUGACAAGUGAAGCCCGCCCCGCCCCCCCAUUGCUCCGCAGACCCUCUCCUCGUCCAGCAAGAACA